UUGCACAUGAGGGCAAAUCAGUAAUUUUGCCCAACUUUCUCAUUUUCCCCAAUUUAUACCUGCAUCUCUCUUUCUUCCUCUCAAAGAAACCCACACACAAAAAACACACACUCACACUUUCCUCCGGCAGGCCUCUCUAUUCCGGCAACCACAAUAGAUGACGGCGAACUCGGUGAAUCUUGGUCCGACAACCGCACUUUCCUCCCGACCUGCUUUUUGUUAGAAAGAUCUAGUAAAAAGAAAGGUGAAUCUUGUUCUGGCAACCAAAAUUGCUUCUCUUUUGGUCCAUCUUUUUAUGGGGUUGUUUCUUGCAAAAGGAACAUUGAAUCUUGAUAGAAAUCGUGGAUCUCCAGCGAGUUUGAUUGGGUGGGUGAUGAUGGUGGGGUUGCGAUGGUGGGUGGGUGGUGAUGGUGGUGGUGAAAGGAGGUUGUGGUGGUGGAAAGUGGUGGUGGAAACAGGAGGCUACUUCCGGCGUGGUCGCCUCACCUCUCCGGCGUUCCGAACUUGAAUGGCAAGAUGAAGUUUUAAAGAUGAAUCUAAUAUGAUUAUUGUUCAUAUUGUUUGUUGUAGAUUUUGAUAUUAAAUCGGAACUAGUUCAAGUAUCAGUCUUGAUAAACUCCAAAUUUGUAUUAAUUACUUGUUAGAAUUGAAUAUAGACUAUUGCAGUAUUGCCUUGAUUUUGUUAUUGAA
Molecule: long non-coding RNA, 690 nt
Organism: Helianthus annuus (common sunflower)
Lineage: Eukaryota; Viridiplantae; Streptophyta; Magnoliopsida; Asterales; Asteraceae
Exons: 2
Source: RefSeq, a predicted model, not a curated record